UACAGAGGUCCCAAGCGUUGUUCGGAUUCACUGGGCGUAAAGGGUGCGCAGGUGGUCGGGUAAGUCUGAUGUGAAAUCCCGCAGCUUAACUGCGGAAUGGCAUUGGAUACUAUUCGGCUAGAGGGUUGGAGGGGGGACUGGAAUUCUCGGUGUAGCAGUGAAAUGCGUAGAUAUCGAGAGGAACACCAGUGGCGAAGGCGAGUCCCUGGACAACUCCUGACGCUGAGGCACGAAGGUCAGGGGAGCAAACGGG
This 253-nucleotide ribosomal RNA is filed under the name uncultured bacterium. RNAcentral's name for it is "partial 16S ribosomal RNA". It matches the Rfam family "Bacterial small subunit ribosomal RNA", at positions 524 to 776 of the family's 1533-position model. The record is from RNAcentral.